UAUAAGAAAAGUCUACCAUUUCCUGUUCAAUUGGCCUAUCCACAUCAGCAUCUCUUCUCUUAAAAUUCCACAUCAGCAACCUCAAUCUUUUAUUCUCUCAACCUUCUGUUAACGUAUCUAUUCCAAUUCCAAAAACGGUUUCUCACGUUCUCUACGGUUUCUAUUCCAAUUCCAAAAACUGAUCAUCUUACGUUCUCUACGGUUUCUAUUCCAAUUCCAAAAACUGAUCAUCUUUUUCUAUCUAUUUGUUUCUUCUUCCUCUGCAUUUUCAUAAAAAAUGGUUUCUUCUUCUAUCGAUUUUUUUCAAUUUUUUCAACCGUUGUUGCUUGAGGUUCGUCAACUGUGGAUGACUUCACGUAUGGCGUCUGCUGCUGCGUCGAUCUUGGCCGAAAGGAUGAUGCUCGCGGUGAUUGGUUUCGCUUUCUCAUGACCCUUCACAGUUGUCGGGUUUAAUUAAACGACAAAUCACGAUACAUAGCGCAUCCAAUCCAAAACGCUAAAGAGAUUUGAAGAAAAUACCGGUCUGUUAUGGGAGCACAAAAUCGAGAUUUAAUUAAAAAUCAUAGUGAAAAUAUCAACCACAAAAUACAGCAAGAAACAAUCAGAUGCACAAUUCAAUUUUAUUUAGAUUCAAACACAGUAAAGCAGAGCAACAAUAAAUCGAGUGAAUUUUACAGGGAAGGGUUCAAAAUAACUCAAUACGAAAUUGGAAUUUCAUCACAAUGAAGAUGAAACUCUCAAUUAGCAGAGGUUGCCCUUAGUGAGGGUAUGCACUUAGCUUCUGCUGGUACGUUCGGGUUGUCUUCUUUGUGUAUGCACUAAGCUUCUUGGUACGUUCGGGUUGUCUUCUUUGUGUAUGCACUAAGCUUCUGCAGGUACGUUCGGGUUGUCUUUUUUAUGUCCCCAGAGCGUAACACUUGCAGUCACAGGACUUUUUAUAGUGCAAUGUGAUUAGGGUUAGGGAUGGUGAGACCGUGGCAUCAAAUUUAAAUUCUUGACUUUUCUUUUAACUCCCCAUUUCGUGUGUGCAGUGAGGUGGUUACAACAACCACACUUGGCUUGAUGAUAUGCUGUCGAGAGGUAUAAUGCUUUGGCACUUGAAUCUGUUCAAAGAGGGAUGCUGCGGUGGGACUCUUUUUCGUUAGGGGGAGAAAGCGCCUAUCAAUCAAUACUCAAAAAUCUUGAAUUAUUGCCUAUUGAACAUUGAUGUUUGAGUAUUUUUCACUCUGAAGAUUAUACCAACAGAACUUAAUAUUGUAGGCAGUACAUGCUGUACCUUGGUUCUAAUGUUGUCUUAGGAUGGGAAAAAGAUGAGGCUUUGGCAUUGAAGGAUCAUCUAGAAUCAAUUACUCUUUUGAAACUCAUUGUUGAUGGUCGUGCGUCGCAUUUAGAUGGUGCUCUUAAAGAGUGUCUGCAAUUGAUACGGAACCUUAAGGAAGAACAUGAACAGAAAAUACAGGAAGUUAAGUGAUCCAUACUUUUUAUCACAACUCUAUUAGUGUGGCAUUUUUGCACUCCUCUAUGAUAACCAUGUCGUCGAUACAUGUUCAACACGAUACACCCUUGCGAACUUAUAAUCAUAUCACAUGGAGUUCACACUGUUUUUGAUUCGGUGAUGACAUGUUUCGGCAUAGAAGCAUUAUCAAGGUCUCGCCUUAUAGCGGAAAAGUGGAUGAUUCCAUCGAUAAUUAUUCUUGAUACUGGCCACAAAUCAGUUCGUCGGGCCAUGGGCAAUUUCUAUUCUCUUAGUGUAGUCAUUUCUUUUCAUCUUCCCAUCACCUCACUGUUUGAUUAAUUCACUACUAUAUUGCAGAAGAGGAAUAAGAUGAAAGCGGAUUGUAAGGUGAAGUGGAUAGCUGUAGCAGUGAAAAUCCGUUUUGACGGUAGCGACCUCAUAGAAACAGAAGGUUGCAGUUCCGGAACAGUUUCAACUGAACGAUGCACUUGAUCUACACACUUUGCUGAUUUUGAUGAAAGAGAUAGAGAAUAAGAUAGAUGAUAAUGAUCAUCAUCUAGAACAAUAACUGAAGCAUCUUGGGUUUGUGAGAAUUGCUGCUAUUCAUGCUUUUGUUUGCAUGUCCAGUCUUUAUGAUUAUGCAAAACAGAAUUCGGGAUCUUUGAGAUCUGCUGUUGGAACCGUCGAAGUGGUUCAAGGGUGGAAUCACCAACAUCUGUUAUAAUUGUGUGGAUAGACAUGUUGAAGCUGGACUUGGUGACAAAGUUGCAUUUUACUGGGAAGCCUCAAAAGAUUGUUAAGACUGCUUCAAAAUAACUUAUAGAACAUUUUUUUAUGGUUAGAUAUGAUUGUUAACUCAUUUUCUAAUAUGAUAUGUAUGCACUUUUAGAGUAAAUUAAUCAUUCACAUUGCAGGCCAACAAUUUAUUUCUGUCUGAAGCCUCAAACAUGGUGAUUGUGACAGGCCCCAAUAUGUAAGAAAAUGUAUGUUUCACAUUCAAAUAAUUGUUACAUACUGGAGGAUCGGUGAUAGUGAAACCCUUGAUGAAUUUUAGCUCUAUAUGUAAGACAGUGACUAUCUAUGAGUACAAAAACGUGUAUGGGCUUAUUAGUGAUAAGAAAGCGUAGUACAAACUACAGAGGAUAUAUAUAAUUUUUUUUCAAACGAGGUUGUUGUCUUUAAAAAUCCAAUAAACAAUUGAUGCUGAAACUAGAUUUAAUUAGGUGAUGUAAGCAUGUCCCGUUCAUUUCUCUUCAAACAAUUCCUUAAAACCCGACACCCGUUUUUUGAAAUUCUUAUGUGUCACUUAUAGUUUUAUUGUGAAUUAUUCGUGAACUGCACCAAAGAUUACUUUAUUUUUGUGUUGCUAUUUGUUUAGAUGAAGAAUAUAGUCCCGGAGUUUGUUUCUACAUUCCUUUCCCCCAGGAGCGGAAAGAGUACUUUCCUUCGACAAGUGUGUCUCAUAGUUAUUCUUGCUCAAGUAGGGUGUUAUGUCCCUGCCCGCUUCUUGAUUUUGAGGGUAGUUGAUCGUGUUUUCACAAGGAUGGGUGCAGUUGAUAAUCUUGAAUCAUACUCUAGCACGAUACAAUUUCUUGAUGCCUGUGUUUUGAAGCUAUUUGAUUCUGAUCAUACGGACUUUGAUUAUAUAUGAAGUUAUCCGGAAGUGUAGUUCAUGACAGAGAUGAAAGAGACAGCUUUUAUCAUGCAAAAUGUUUCACAUAGGAGUCUGAUUGUUAUGAAUGAACUUGGUAGGGCUACUUCCUCAUCUGAUGGAUUUGCAAUUGCAUGGAGCUGCUGCGAACAUCUUUUCUCACUCAAUGUGUAAUUGUUGCUUAAUUAUGGAGAAGGAAGCACAUGCAUUGUUAAAUGCUAAGGCCAAAAUCUGCUCAUUAAUGAUGUUGUCCAACUGCAUCUGCCGCUGCUCCAUCAAAGGGGUAAUACUAACUGGCUCUGGAAAUCGGCGGAGGAAAAAAGACAGAAGCUUGCCGGUAUCGCUAACAAGAAGUGAUUGAUAUGCAUGUUCUAUUCAUUUUAAAAAUUAUACUAAGCUUGACAUUGUUGCUUCUGAAUAUUAUUAUUGUAGAUUUGGGAGUGCCAUGAGUUUUUCUCUAUUGGUUGAUAACUAUUUCCUUUUCAUGCAGAAACAAUAUGACAACAAGAUUGUUGAUGAAUUUUUAGAGUGACAGCAAGAUUUUUACUUUCCAGCAAGAGUUGUUUUAUUCUUUUAUCACUACUACUCAAUUGUGGCUUACGGCUGCUGCUGGAGUGUUUGAAGCACGUCGCAUAUCAGAUGCAAUUUGAACUCGGGUCGUUCUCCUAGCGACAAAGGCGUCUUUAUGGAUGACGUUACUAAAAGUGAACUUUGGUGGGGGAAAUUACGUAUUAUAUAUCCCAGGUUCCAGUUGCACAAACUCCCGAUCCCAAGGGUAAGCCUGAUUGCUAUGGUGUCUUCUGCCUUACCUAUGAUUUCAAGGCUAUGAGAAGAGGAGACCAAAUCGUGGAAGAAAUUAAUUAACAUUGUUGUCUCAGAUGCUCCUGGAAUUUUUUUCAAUCAUCUACUUUUCAAGAGUUGAUUUCUUAUCUCAGCUUGCAUUCGGUAAUGGCAAAUUUUUGAAGAACUACAAGUAAGCGUUCAAUCUUAAUUUUCGUUUCCAUCGUUGUGGGGGUAUGUCAUGACAGAUCCUUGCCAUCAAUCUUCUAUUCUGAUGCUGAGUUUUGUGAUGAGGAAAUCAUGACGACUUAAAUACAUUUAUUAUAGGAUAAGUUUGUAAUCCUGACAGAUGCAAAACUACAUUGCUUUGCUUAAAGGUAACACAUUUGAAUAGAUUUAACAGCAGAAGAUGAGAAAAUAUGAAAAUGCACAGAAGUUUUACACCUCAUUCAUCCUUUAUGGAUCUAGAAUGGACAAACCAAGUGUGAUCUGCUCACAAUCUCACUGAAAGUUGAAAAAUGACUUCACAUUUACAGCAUCAAAUAUAUAUUCAAAAGUUGUGUAUCCUCUGUCCCCAAGGCGUAUCUCAAGUGAUUGAGCUGAUACACCUGAAGGAGUUAGAGAGGAGGUCCAUGAUUCAAACAUUGGCUACUGGUAUAACAUACUAAGAACUAACAUUUCGCUAUUAGAAGUAAUUGUGUAUACAUUACCAUAGUUGGAUUCCUUUUGUUUUUUAUGCUUUGUUGUUCACCUGCUUAAUAACACUUUUUGGAGUUGAGACAUUUUUCUUAUUUUGUGGAGACAUGUUUUUUUGUUGUGUUUUCUUGCUACAAAUGACAAUAAAUAUUGGCCUAUGAACAUCAUUUCUUUAUUGUUUUGUUUUAGUGUGCGGUCCUUCAAAUGAUUUAAGGUAGUCUAUCAUUGAUGUCUUUAUGGUUUGUAUGUUCCAAUUAUUCUAUUGAUAUCACAGUAAAGCAAGAACAUAAGCAUAAGUUACCAUUCUGCUUUAUUAUAGUAGGGAGUUUGAGAAUGACUUCUUAACCUCAUUUAAUUAGUAAAAGGUUAAAGGUAAAAUAAACCAAGAAAAACUACAAGUAACUUAUAAAAA
Long non-coding RNA from Vicia villosa (hairy vetch), 4995 nucleotides. RefSeq lists it as uncharacterized. NCBI's taxonomy places the organism in Eukaryota, Viridiplantae, Streptophyta, Magnoliopsida, Fabales, Fabaceae. The record is from RefSeq and is a predicted model, not a curated record. The transcript has 14 exons.